GAGCAUCAAUCUGAUUAUAGCUAAUUGGUCGACAGGAAAAUGGAACAAAUGUUCAGGCGCUAAAAAUGCCUACUGUUGCUUGCGAUGCAACGCUGCUGGGAAAUUCAACUUCAGAAGGGAAUGGUUAUCCUGACAAAAAGGUGAGUUUGUCAAAUAUUUUUAAUGAUGCCUAUUUGUUGAGUUCAGGAUUUAAACUGAUUGGUUUUGUUUUUUUGCUAUCAUUUUUAUUCUAGCUCUCAGUAAUAGCUUAUUUUGGAAAAACAAUUAGUUUUUCAUCAAAAUCUCUCUUGCAGAGCUAAUAAAAAGUGUUUUUUCCCCUAAAGUAAAACAAUUUAAAAUUAUAUUGCUAAACCUUCGCACAUACAAGUUUUUCUGGUUCUUUAAUCCAAAUUAUCUAUUGAGAAAUGUACAAUUACAUUACCUUGUAAAUCUUUAUAUUCCAACCACUAUUUGUCCCCUUAUAUUAAACUGCUUUGCGGGGUUGGUUCUUAGGGAAAGAAAAAGAUCAAGGUAGAACAGAAUGUAUCAUCAAU
This 533-nucleotide long non-coding RNA is filed under the name Medicago truncatula (barrel medic). Its description in RNAcentral is "long non-coding RNA (MTRU_LNC005419)". The record is from RNAcentral. Lineage: Eukaryota; Viridiplantae; Streptophyta; Magnoliopsida; Fabales; Fabaceae.